This 106-nucleotide small nuclear RNA is filed under the name Jaculus jaculus (lesser Egyptian jerboa). Lineage: Eukaryota; Metazoa; Chordata; Mammalia; Rodentia; Dipodidae. The record is from RNAcentral.
GUGCUUGCUUUGGCAGCACAUAUAUUAAAGUUGGAAUGAUACAGAGAAGACUAGCAUGGCUUCUGCACAAGGAUGACAUGCAAAUUUGUGAAUGUUCCAUAUUUUU